RNAcentral lists this ribosomal RNA (779 nucleotides) under uncultured Neocallimastigales. RNAcentral's name for it is "partial large subunit ribosomal RNA". It matches the Rfam family "Eukaryotic large subunit ribosomal RNA", at positions 24 to 647 of the family's 3401-position model. The record is from RNAcentral. Lineage: Eukaryota; Fungi; Neocallimastigomycota; Neocallimastigomycetes; Neocallimastigales.
GUAGUCUCGCACAGAUGCAUAUCAAUAAGCGGAGGAAAAGAAACUAACAAGGAUUCCCCUAGUAACGGCGAGUGGAAGCGGGAAGAGCUCAAAUUUGAAAUCUUAAAGGGUUUCCCUUUACGAAUUGUAGUUUAAAGAAGUGUUUUCUGUUGAGGUUUUGGUAAAAGUUCUUUGGAAUAGGACAUCAUAGAGGGUGAGAAUCCCGUAUUUGACCUUUACUUUCAACUUUGUGAUACACUUUCAAAGAGUCGGAUUGUUUGGGAAUGCAGUCCAAAAUGGGUGGUAAAUUUCAUCUAAAGCUAAAUAUUGGCGAGAGACCGAUAGCGAACAAGUACCGUGAGGGAAAGAUGAAAAGAACUUUGAAAAGAGAGUUAAUACAGUACGUGAAAUUGUCAAAAGGGAAGCGUUUGACACCAGUGUUGUUUUUCUGAAUAAUCAAUUAAAGAACUGUCUAUGCUAAGCUUGUUUAGACUUUAUCAGCUAAUCUGUUUAGUUUUGAGCUUUUCUUUAAUGCACUUUUCAGUUAACAAGUCAACAUCAAUUUCUUUUGCUGUAAAAAAGCUUGAGGAAGGUGGCUUGAGAUUCGUCUUAAGUGUUUAUAGCCUCUUGCCUAUGCAGUCGGAGAGAUUGAGGUCUGCAGCGUAGAUCCUUCGGGGCUAAAUGCAUUUGUGCUAAGUUAUAGCAUUUUAUAGACAACUUGUUGACUAUGAUUUGUCUUGUAGCUUACUCGCUUAUGUUAUUUUACCUACGCUUAGGAUGUUGACGCAUGAGAUAUACGC